GUUAUUAUAGCUUAUAAUAAAGUAUAGUACUGAAAAUACUAAGAAGGUUACACCUAUUAACA
RNAcentral lists this transfer RNA (62 nucleotides) under Calamaria septentrionalis (Hong Kong dwarf snake). RNAcentral describes it as "tRNA-Phe". The record is from RNAcentral. Lineage: Eukaryota; Metazoa; Chordata; Lepidosauria; Squamata; Calamariidae.